GGGGGAACGGCAUUAUGUGCUUGCACAUUUUGGACGUCGACCGGCGCACGGGUGAGUAUCGCGUAUCCAACCUGCCCUUUACUUGGGGAUACCCCGUUGAAAGACGGCCUAAUACCCGAUGUAAUUCAUUGAUGGCAUCAGAUAUGAAUAAAAGAUUUAUCGGUAAAGGAUGGGGAUGCGUCUGAUUAGCUUGUUGGUGAGGUAAAGGCUCACCAAGGCAACGAUCAGUAGGGGUUCUGAGAGGAAGGUCCCCCACAUUGGAACUGAGACACGGUCCAAACUCCUANCGGGAGGCAGCAGUGAGGAAUAUUGGUCAAUGGGCGCAAGCCUGAACCAGCCAAGUAGCGUGCAGGAAGACGGCCCUAUGGGUUGUAAACUGCUUUUAUACGAGAAUAAUUUGAUGCACGUGUGCGUUAUUGCAUGUAUCGUAUGAAUAAGGACCGGCUAAUUCCGUGCCAGCAGCCGCGGUAAUACGGAAGGUCCAGGCGUUAUCCGGAUUUAUUGGGUUUAAAGGGAGUGUAGGCGGUUUGUUAAGCGUGUUGUGAAAUUUAGGUGCUCAACAUUUAACUUGCAGCGCGAACUGUCAGACUUGAGUACACGCAACGUAUGCGGAAUUCAUGGUGUAGCGGUGAAAUGCUUAGAUAUCAUGAAGAACUCCGAUUGCGAAGGCAGCAUACGGGAGUGUAACUGACGCUUAAGCUCGAAGGUGCGGGUAUCGAACAGGAUUAGAUACCCUGGUAGUCCGCACAGUAAACGAUGGAUGCCCGCUGUUAGCGCCUGGCGUUAGCGGCUAAGCGAAAGCAUUAAG
RNAcentral lists this ribosomal RNA (808 nucleotides) under uncultured Prevotella sp. Its description in RNAcentral is "bacterial SSU rRNA". It matches the Rfam family "Bacterial small subunit ribosomal RNA", at positions 65 to 864 of the family's 1533-position model. The record is from RNAcentral. Lineage: Bacteria; Pseudomonadati; Bacteroidota; Bacteroidia; Bacteroidales; Prevotellaceae.